This 253-nucleotide ribosomal RNA is filed under the name uncultured bacterium. RNAcentral's name for it is "partial 16S ribosomal RNA". It matches the Rfam family "Bacterial small subunit ribosomal RNA", at positions 524 to 776 of the family's 1533-position model. The record is from RNAcentral.
GACAGAGGGUGCAAACGUUGUUCGGAAUUACUGGGCGUAAAGCGCGUGUAGGCGGCCCUGCAAGUCGGAUGUGAAAGCCCUGGGCUCAACCUAGGAAGUGCACUCGAAACUUCGGAGCUGGAGUCCUGGAGAGGAAGGCGGAAUUCUCGGUGUAGAGGUGAAAUUCGUAGAUAUCGAGAGGAACACCGGUGGCGAAGGCGGCAUUCUGGACCAAUACUGACGCUGAGGAGCGAAAGCCAGGGGAGCAAACGGG